RNAcentral lists this ribosomal RNA (432 nucleotides) under uncultured bacterium. RNAcentral's name for it is "partial 16S ribosomal RNA". It matches the Rfam family "Bacterial small subunit ribosomal RNA", at positions 29 to 506 of the family's 1533-position model. The record is from RNAcentral.
AACGAACGCUGGCGGCAUGCCUAACACAUGCAAGUCGAACGAGACCUCCGGGUCUAGUGGCGCACGGGUGCGUAACGCGUCGGAACCUGCCCUUAGGCUCGGAAUAACUCCCCGAAAGGGGUGCUAAUACCGGAUAAUGUCUUCGGACCAAAGAUUUAUCGGCUUUGGAUGGGCCCGUGUUGGAUUAGCUUGUUGGAAGUGUAAAAGCCUACCAAGGCGUAGAUCCAUAGCUGGGCUUAGAGGAUGAUCAGCCACACUGGGACGGGGACCCGGCCCGAACUUCUGAGGAUGGGAGCAGUGGGGAAUAAUGGACAAUGGGCGAGAGCCUGAUCCAGCAGUGCCGCGUGAGUGAUGAAGGGCUUAGGGUUGUAAAGCUCUUUUACCCGCGAUGAUAAUGACAGUACCGGGGGAAAAAGCUCCGGCUAAUUCCGU